GUGAGUAAUGCUUAGGAAUCUGCCUAUUAGUGGGGGACAACAUCUCGAAAGGGAUGCUAAUACCGCAUACGUCCUACGGGAGAAAGCAGGGGAUCUUUGGACCUUGCGCUAAUAGAUGAGCCUAAGUCGGAUUAGCUAGUUGGUGGGGUAAAGGCCUACCAAGGCGACGAUCUGUAGCGGGUCUGAGAGGAUGAUCCGCCACACUGGGACUGAGACACGGCCCAGACUCCUACGGGAGGCAGCAGUGGGGAAUAUUGGACAAUGGGGGGAACCCUGAUCCAGCCAUGCCGCGUGUGUGAAGAAGGCCUUAUGGUUGUAAAGCACUUUAAGCGAGGAGGAGGCUACUUUAGUUAAUACCUAGAGAUAGUGGACGUUACUCGCAGAAUAAGCACCGGCUAACUCUGUGCCAGCAGCCGCGGUAAUACAGAGGGUGCAAGCGUUAAUCGGAUUUACUGGGCGUAAAGCGCGCGUAGGCGGCUAAUUAAGUCAAAUGUGAAAUCCCCGAGCUUAACUUGGGAAUUGCAUUCGAUACUGGUUAGCUAGAGUGUGGGAGAGGAUGGUAGAAUUCCAGGUGUAGCGGUGAAAUGCGUAGAGAUCUGGAGGAAUACCGAUGGCGAAGGCAGCCAUCUGGCCUAACACUGACGCUGAGGUGCGAAAGCAUGGGGAGCAAACAGGAUUAGAUACCCUGGUAGUCCAUGCCGUAAACGAUGUCUACUAGCCGUUGGGGCCUUUGAGGCUUUAGUGGCGCAGCUAACGCGAUAAGUAGACCGCCUGGGGAGUACGGUCGCAAGACUAAAACUCAAAUGAAUUGACGGGGGCCC
This 821-nucleotide ribosomal RNA is filed under the name Acinetobacter seifertii. RNAcentral's name for it is "bacterial SSU rRNA". It matches the Rfam family "Bacterial small subunit ribosomal RNA", at positions 106 to 922 of the family's 1533-position model. The record is from RNAcentral. Lineage: Bacteria; Pseudomonadati; Pseudomonadota; Gammaproteobacteria; Moraxellales; Moraxellaceae.